This is a transfer RNA of Loxodonta africana (African savanna elephant), 83 nucleotides long. It matches the Rfam family "tRNA". From Rfam's summary of the family: Transfer RNA (tRNA) molecules are approximately 80 nucleotides in length. Their secondary structure includes four short double-helical elements and three loops (D, anti-codon, and T loops). The record is from Rfam. Lineage: Eukaryota; Metazoa; Chordata; Mammalia; Proboscidea; Elephantidae.
GUCAGGAUGGCUGAGCAGUCUAAGCUGCUGCGUUCAGGUCCCAGCCUCCCCUGGAGGCGUGUGUUCGAAUCCCACUCCUGACA